GGGGUCUAAUACCGGAUAASACUUUCCCUCUCAKGGSAGAAGGUUAAAAGCUCCGGCGGUGAAGGAUGAGCCCGCGGCCUAUCAGCUAGUUGGUGGGGUAAUGGCCUACCAAGGCGACGACGGGUAGCCGGCCUGAGAGGGCGACCGGCCACACUGGGACUGAGACACGGCCCAGACUCCUACGGGAGGCAGCAGUGGGGAAUAUUGCACAAUGGGCGAAAGCCUGAUGCAGCGACGCCGCGUGAGGGAUGACGGCCUUCGGGUUGUAAACCUCUUUCAGCAGGGAAGAAGCGAAAGUGACGGUACCUGCAGAAGAAGCGCCGGCUAACUACGUGCCAGCAGCCGCGGUAAUACGUAGGGCGCAAGCGUUGUCCGGAAUUAUUGGGCGUAAAGAGCUCGUAGGCGGCUUGUUGCGUCGGUUGUGAAAGCCCGGGGCUUAACCCCGGGUCUGCAGUCGAUACGGGCAGGCUAGAGUGUGGUAGGGGAGAUCGGAAUUCCUGGUGUAGCGGUGAAAUGCGCAGAUAUCAGGAGGAACACCGGUGGCGAAGGCGGAUCUCUGGGCCAUUACUGACGCUGAGGAGCGAAAGCGUGGGGAGCGAACAGGAUUAGAUACCCUGGUAGUCCACGCCGUAAACGUUGGGAACUAGGUGUUGGCGACAUUCCACGUCGUCGGUGCCGCAGCUAACGCAUUAAGUUCCCCGCCU
Molecule: ribosomal RNA, 704 nt
Filed under: Streptomyces sp. 102-FB
Lineage: Bacteria; Bacillati; Actinomycetota; Actinomycetes; Kitasatosporales; Streptomycetaceae
Description: bacterial SSU rRNA
Rfam family: Bacterial small subunit ribosomal RNA
Source: RNAcentral